CCUCCGUGAGGCAGCAGUGGGGAAUAUUGGGCAAUGGGCGCAAGCCUGACCCAGCAACGCCGCGUGAAGGAAGAAGGCUUUCGGGUUGUAAACUUCUUUUCUCAGGGACGAAGCAAGUGACGGUACCUGAGGACUAAGCCACGGCUAACUACGUGCCAGCAGCCGCGGUGAUACGUAGGUGGCAGGCGUUAUGCGGAUUUACUGGGUGUAAAGGGCGUGUAGGCGGGAAAGCAAGUCAGAUGUGAAAACCAUGGGCUCAACCUGUGGACUGCAUUUGAAACUGUUUUUCUUGAGUACUGGAGAGGCAGACGGAAUGCCUAGUGUAGCGGUGAAAUGCGUAGAUAUUAGGCAGAACACCAGUGGCGAAGGCGGCCUGCUGGACAGCAACUGACGCUGAGGCGCGAAAGCGUGGGUAGCGAACAGGAUUAGAUACCCGAGUAGUC
Molecule: ribosomal RNA, 443 nt
Filed under: uncultured bacterium
Lineage: Bacteria
Description: partial 16S ribosomal RNA
Rfam family: Bacterial small subunit ribosomal RNA
Source: RNAcentral